This 468-nucleotide ribosomal RNA is filed under the name uncultured bacterium. Its description in RNAcentral is "partial 16S ribosomal RNA". It matches the Rfam family "Bacterial small subunit ribosomal RNA", at positions 28 to 507 of the family's 1533-position model. The record is from RNAcentral.
GACGAACGCUGGCGGCGUGCUUAACACAUGCAAGUCGAACGGAAAGGCCCUGCUUUUGUGGGGUGCUCGAGUGGCGAACGGGUGAGUAACACGUGAGUAACCUGCCCUUGACUUUGGGAUAACUUCAGGAAACUGGGGCUAAUACCGGAUAGGAGCUCCUGCUGCAUGGGGGGGGUUGGAAAGUUUCGGCGGUUGGGGAUGGACUCGCGGCUUAUCAGCUUGUUGGUGGGGUAGUGGCUUACCAAGGCUUUGACGGGUAGCCGGCCUGAGAGGGUGACCGGCCACAUUGGGACUGAGAUACGGCCCAGACUCCUACGGGAGGCAGCAGUGGGGAAUAUUGCACAAUGGGCGGAAGCCUGAUGCAGCAACGCCGCGUGCGGGAUGACGGCCUUCGGGUUGUAAACCGCUUCCGCCUGUGACGAAGCGUGAGUGACGGUAAUGGGUAAAGAAGCACCGGCUAACUACGUG